RNAcentral lists this ribosomal RNA (253 nucleotides) under uncultured bacterium. Its description in RNAcentral is "partial 16S ribosomal RNA". It matches the Rfam family "Bacterial small subunit ribosomal RNA", at positions 524 to 776 of the family's 1533-position model. The record is from RNAcentral.
UACGAAGGGGGCUAGCGUUGUUCGGAAUUACUGGGCGUAAAGCGCACGUAGGCGGAUAUUUAAGUCGGGGGUGAAAUCCCGGGGCUCAACCCCGGAACUGCCUUCGAUACUGGGUAUCUUGAGUUCGGAAGAGGUGAGUGGAAUUGCGAGUGUAGAGGUGAAAUUCGUAGAUAUUCGCAGGAACACCAGUGGCGAAGGCAGAUCUCUGGGCCGUAACUGACGCUGAGGAGCGAAAGCAUGGGGAGCGAACAGG